This is a non-coding RNA of Paramuricea clavata, 487 nucleotides long. Lineage: Eukaryota; Metazoa; Cnidaria; Anthozoa; Malacalcyonacea; Plexauridae. The record is from the annotation of a GenBank genome assembly.
ACACGACUUCCUGCUAUAUCAAUGUCAUCAAUAAUGAGUGUUGAGUUACAUUUCAAACAAGAAGCUGAAUCAUAUUUCAAUUGCAAGGAAAGAACACCACACGCUACCUACAGCGUGCGAAGUUGAGCACGCUUCAUCGUAGAAGCUACUUUAAUAUCUUCCACACCGACCGACCGAUCAAACGAACGAUCUGGCCGUUAAAUUAAAGUGUAUCCUGUCCGAUAUUCAAACGGAUUUUUUUAUAACGUGAUCUUUUGGUUUCCGAAACAUCGCCAACUGUUUGUAAAUAAUGCUACUGUAUCUUGACUUGUGAUAGCACAGGAUUAAAACCCGUGUUCUUAUGGACUAUAAAAUUCCUUGCAUUGACAUUGCUCUCUGGACAUUGCUGAAACUCAACGAGCAAGACUUAUUUCGAAGUAUAGCUAUCUGUUUUCACCAGUGAACUCUAUUGGUUAUCUUAUGAACGCCAUUCGUUUACGCCAAGACU